GUGAGGAAUAUUGGUCAAUGGACGAGAGUCUGAACCAGCCAAGUCGCGUGAAGGAAGACGGUUCUAUGAAUUGUAAACUUCUUUUGUGCAGGAAUAAAGUGGGUUACGUGUAACCUUUUGUAUGUACUGUACGAAUAAGGAUCGGCUAACUCCGUGCCAGCAGCCGCGGUAAUACGGAGGAUCCGAGCGUUAUCCGGAUUUAUUGGGUUUAAAGGGUGCGUAGGCGGAUUGGAAAGUCAGCGGUGAAAGUUUGCAGCUUAACUGUAAAAUUGCCAUUGAAACUGUCAGUCUUGAGUGCAAAUGAGGUAGGCGGAAUGUGUUGUGUAGCGGUGAAAUGCAUAGAUAUAACACAGAACACCAAUUGCGAAGGCAGCUUACUGGGAUGCAACUGACGCUGAGGCACGAAAGCGUGGGGAUCAAACAGGAUUAGAUACCCUAGUAGUCC
Molecule: ribosomal RNA, 445 nt
Filed under: uncultured bacterium
Lineage: Bacteria
Description: partial 16S ribosomal RNA
Rfam family: Bacterial small subunit ribosomal RNA
Source: RNAcentral